CCUUUAGCGAAGAAAAAUACUAUAUUACAAUGAUAACUAUAAUUUAAUCCAAUUAACUUAAUCUUAAUAACUUGUAUUGUGAUUUUAAACUCGAACUGUCAUCUUUUUUAUUAGCUAAGUUUCAUGUCAAAUGAUUUAUUUUUAAAAUGAAUACAUGCCAAAUUAAAUUGGUUUGUUUUUGUUUGGUGAGAAAAUAUGAGACUAUAUAUUUGUUUAUACAGAGGUGGGCAUUUACAAUUCUUAAAUCAUUUCCUCUAUAAUUAAAAUUUGAUUAUAAAAUUUCUUUAAUUAUUCUUAAAUCAUUUUUAAAUAUUGUAUAAUUUCUUAAAUCGUUUUUAAAUUUGAAGGAAUAAGUAAUCCUUUUUUAUAGAUAUUGUACCUGUAAAUUAGAAUUAGUAAAAUAUUUUUUAAUUGAUAUUUUGUUUAGUAAGAUACAAAAAAAUUUCUUAUCAUUAUCUUCUUUACUUUUUAAGAAUUGUAUUAUAUAAGAUAUAUACUAAAAUUUCUUGAUAGAUGUUUUUUCUAAAUAAAUAAAAGAAAACUUUAUUUUACACGUGUCAAAUUUGAGAUCGAUAAAUUUGACAUGUGUCACGAUUCUAUGUGUUACUAACUUUGAAAAUAAUACUUUAUGUAAUACUAGAUAAGGUCCGCCUAAAUAGGCGAGUGUAAGAUAUAAAUGUAAAUUUUUAUUGAUAGUAUUCAUAUUUUAUAAUUAUUAUACAUUUUAGUUAUACGCACUCAAUCUUAUCGAUGAUUUUUGAAUUCUUAAUAGUAACUCACACAUUUUUUCUAUAUUUAAUUUAGUAAUGAGAAUAAGAAAAACAAAUUAUAUCUUACACAUUCUCUUUUGCAAUACAGUUUAACUAUCUAUUUCAUCAUAAUAAACUUGAUUUUAAUUUUAUACACUUCACCUUAAGUAAUAACAGUUGUAUAUCAAAACAAUAUUUAUAUCAUAUCAAAACUAUAUUUUGUAAUCUCAUAAGUUAAUUUUAACUCAUGUGAACUAAUUCUUUUUUUAA
RNAcentral lists this small RNA (1019 nucleotides) under Arabidopsis thaliana (thale cress). Its description in RNAcentral is "ATSL045250". The record is from RNAcentral. Lineage: Eukaryota; Viridiplantae; Streptophyta; Magnoliopsida; Brassicales; Brassicaceae.